AGAGGUGGCAAGCGUUGUUCGGAAUUACUGGGCGUAAAGGGCGCGUAGGCGGUUCGUUAAGUCCUGUGUGAAAUCCCCCGGCUCAACUGGGGAACUGCACAGGAAACUAGCGGGCUUGAGUUCGGGAGAGGGAAGCGGAAUUCCGGGUGUAGCGGUGAAAUGCGUAGAUAUCCGGAGGAACACCGGUGGCGGAGGCGGCUUCCUGGACCGACACUGACGCUGAGGCGCGAAAGCUAGGGGAGCAAACGGGAUUAGAUACCCCGGUAGUCCUAGCUGUAAACGAUGAGUGCUGGGUGUAGGGGGUAUUAACCCCCCCUGUGCCGAAKCUAACGCAUUAAGCACUCCGCCUGGGGAGUACGGUCGCAWGGCUG
RNAcentral lists this ribosomal RNA (371 nucleotides) under uncultured bacterium. RNAcentral describes it as "bacterial SSU rRNA". It matches the Rfam family "Bacterial small subunit ribosomal RNA", at positions 527 to 896 of the family's 1533-position model. The record is from RNAcentral.